This is a long non-coding RNA of Sphaeramia orbicularis (orbiculate cardinalfish), 138 nucleotides long. RefSeq lists it as uncharacterized. The transcript has 3 exons. The record is from RefSeq and is a predicted model, not a curated record. Lineage: Eukaryota; Metazoa; Chordata; Actinopteri; Kurtiformes; Apogonidae.
UGAUAACUGACCAUGAUUUUAGUCCUGUCUGAAUGUGCUACGUCAGUAAUCAUUACCGCACAAUGUCAGUAAAGAUUACUGCGACUUUUAUCUUCUGUAAAAGGGUCCAGGAAAAUGAGCCCUGGUAAUACCAAUCCC